Molecule: transfer RNA, 85 nt
Filed under: Rhodospirillales bacterium URHD0017
Lineage: Bacteria; Pseudomonadati; Pseudomonadota; Alphaproteobacteria; Rhodospirillales
Description: tRNA_Gly_GCC
Source: RNAcentral
GCGGGCGGCUGGAUAGCGUAGCGAAAGGAUCAUGAUAACCUUGCCAAGGUCGGGGUCGAGGGUUCGAAUCCCUUCGCCCGCUCCA